AUUGAACGCUGGCGGCAUGGCUAAAACAUGCAAGUCGGACGCGAAAGGGGGCAACCCCGAGUAGAGUGGCGAAAGGGCGAGUAAUGCGUUUCUAACGUACCCCGGGCUCACGGAUAGCUCGCCGAAAGGCGGAUUAAUACGUGAUGACACCGCGAGAUCGUAUGGUCUUGCGUUCAAAGGCUUGCCGGGCCCGGGAGGCGGGGAACGUCCUAUCAGGUAGUUGGUGAGGUAAUGGCUCACCAAGCCUAAGACGGGUAGCGGGUGUGAGAGCACGGCCCGCCGCAUCGGGACUGAGACACUCGCCCGGACUCCUACGGGAGGCUGCAGUAACGAAUAUUCCGCAAUGCGCGAAAGCGUGAC
Molecule: ribosomal RNA, 360 nt
Filed under: uncultured bacterium
Lineage: Bacteria
Description: bacterial SSU rRNA
Rfam family: Bacterial small subunit ribosomal RNA
Source: RNAcentral